Molecule: long non-coding RNA, 1634 nt
Organism: Drosophila elegans
Lineage: Eukaryota; Metazoa; Arthropoda; Insecta; Diptera; Drosophilidae
Exons: 3
Source: RefSeq, a predicted model, not a curated record
UACCGGUGCAAAUGUCAUUGGAAAAGCGGCCAAUUGUGUAGAAGGGAAACCCUAGAAGUAAGAGAUAUUUGUCAGUAGAAUGGCAUUGAAAAGUCUCCGGAUGCACAGAAAAUCCAACAAUGGGAGGUUCUACUAUAAGUUUUAGAAAUGCAAUGCGCAAAUGGAAACGUUUUCCGCGGAUCCAAUGAUAAUUUUAGGGCAUGGGGACAGCUAAGACUAAAGAAUCCACCUGCGGCACAUGCACAAUGGGUGAUAAUUGAGGCCUGACCCACAUACUUCCACCACGACGAUGAAAAACAAACCGCCGGCAUUCAUCUUCAUAAGAAUCACCUGCUGUGGAGCUCAAACUUACAGCGAGGGUGUCGCGAUCCACUGCGGGCCAAGCUGGAGUCCUCCUCCUCCUCCUCCUCCGCGAGAAGGGUAUCAUUGCCGGGGAUCAGGGUGUUGUUAACUUUCAACUCCGACAUUAGCAUCAAACUACUGGCACGUGCCGCACUAUAGAUGCCCACUAUGUAGCUGCUGAAGAAGAUGGCCACGAGGGCCAGAAGCUGCGAGGAACGACCGCCGGCAGACAUGAUAAUGACAAUCGGAUAUCGUAUGGAUCACUUUCGGUUUUCACUCGGGGAGCUGGAACUAUUGCGGCUGCAACGGAGCUGGAACGGAUUGGCUACCGAUCGAGAGAGAGACACAAUGGAGACUGAGCCGACGAGAUCCGAGUUUUAGGGGCAUAGUCGAAUGGGCCAGGCCAGUGGGCUGGUGGCCAGUGCUCAGGUGCUAAUUGGGAGAACCCGACAACACAACCCAUGCACCUUCGCCAGGGACGGCUGGAGUUCUCCAAAACUGCACUCUCAGACAUUACACUUCUUUCAUGAUAAUCCGCUCCUGCCCGAAGAUCGUGUGGGUCUUAUUUCGCCUGGUCGAGAGAGAAUGUGGAGCACUCACGCAUGGGAAGUGAUCGGCUUCUUGGUCCGUAUUGGCAUUAUUCGUUACCGAAAUUUACGCGUACCGCUUCUGGAUGACAACAAACCGAUUUUCUGGGCGAGGAAAGUGAUACAAAUGACUGGCACUGAUAUCCAAUUUGGCGGGUUUGCGCACGCGUGUAGCGCCGCAUGAUUCCCCGGAUGGAGUAAAAGAAAGUGUCUAGUGUUUGCUCUUCGCUCCGGUUUGUAAGUCUAGGUCUAGACUAGUAUUUUCUUUCCGCUCGAGCCAGUUUAAUAAAUGGCUAUAAAUAAAAUCGAAAACUUUGGGCCCAUUGUGAUCGGUCCGUUUACAGAUGAUGUAACGGUACAAUCUUGAUCAGUUUGGCGCGUGUUUUUGAGUCUUCGGCUAAGCGAUCUGCUUUGCUGCAUUUACUAGAACGCGGCACGACGCCAAUUAGCAGGACAUCACUAAUCGCCGACUAUGCGGACACUAAUUAAUGUUUAAUCCCAAAAGGAAGGUAAAAGUGGAUUGGCCUUGAUUGUUUUCCAGCGCGAAGCGUAGAAAGUUGCAGGUGAUCCGCCGAGUUGCCAACUGUCGAUCGAUUUUUGUUAUUUAAAGUCAUGUUGUGGCCCUGUUAACCAAGACAGUUACUUUUAUGCAAAAAUUUGGGAAGACAAAUUUAAAAAAUCUUGGUAAAAUGAAUUCUAAACCAA